RNAcentral lists this ribosomal RNA (481 nucleotides) under uncultured bacterium. RNAcentral describes it as "partial 16S ribosomal RNA". It matches the Rfam family "Bacterial small subunit ribosomal RNA", at positions 28 to 523 of the family's 1533-position model. The record is from RNAcentral.
GACGAACGCUGGCGGCGUGCUUAACACAUACAAGUCGAGCGGUAAGGCUCCUUCGGGAGUACACGAGCGGCGAACGGGUGAGUAACACGUGAGCAAUCUGCCCUUCACUUUGGGAUAACUUCCGGAAACGGAAGCUAAUACCGAAUACGACCACUUCAGGCAUCUGAUGGUGGUGGAAAGUUCCGGCGGUGAAGGAUGAGCUCGCGGCCUAUCAGCUUGUUGGUGAGGUAAUGGCUCACCAAGGCUUCGACGGGUAGCCGGCCUGAGAGGGUGACCGGCCAAACUGGGACUGAGACACGGCCGAGACUCCUACGGGAGGCAGCAGUGGGGAAUAAUGGACAAUGGGCGAAAGCCUGAUCCAGCAACGCCGCGUGAGGGAUGACGGCCUUCGGGUUGUAAACCUCUUUCAGCGGGGAGGAAGCGAAAGUGACGGUACCCGCAGAAGAAGCACCGGCCAACUACGUGCCAGCCGCCGCAGUAA